RNAcentral lists this ribosomal RNA (1245 nucleotides) under uncultured soil eukaryote. Its description in RNAcentral is "SSU rRNA". It matches the Rfam family "Eukaryotic small subunit ribosomal RNA", at positions 550 to 1798 of the family's 1831-position model. The record is from RNAcentral.
AGAGGACAAGUCUGGUGCCAGCACCCGCGGUAAUUCCAGCUCUAGUAGUGUAUGUUGAAGUUGCUGCAGUUAAAAAGCUCGUAGUUGGAUUUCGGAACGCGAAGGUCAAAGUCCGUCUCAAUGGCGUGGCUCGAUUUUCGCUUCCUAUCUGGAAAUAGAGGCUCCUUUCCUUUACGGGUUGGGAUGUCCGCUUUUCCUCAUUUACUUUGAAAAAAUUCGCGCGCUCAAGGCAGGCGUAAAGCUAUUGAAGAGUCAUGCAUAGGAUAAUAGAAUACGACAUUGGUCCUAUUUUGUUGGUUUCUAGGGCUGACGUAAUGAUUAAUAGGGGUGGUUGAGGUCGCUUGUAUUGGACGGCUAGAGGUGAAAUUCUAGGAUUCGUUCAAGACAAACUACUGCGAAAGCAUUCGACAAGGACGCUUUCCUUAAUCAAGAACGAAAGUUGGGGGAUCAAAGACGAUCAGAUACCGUCGUAGUCUCAACUAUAAACGAUGUAGACCAGAGAUCCGAUUUAGAUGAUGGAUGUCGCUUCGGGGAUCUAGAUGAGAAAUCAGAGUAUUUAUAUUCCGGGGGGAGUAUGGUCGCAAGGCUGAAACUUAAAGAAAUUGACGGAAGGGCACCACCAGGAGUGGAACCUGCGGCUUAAUUUGACCCAACACGGGGAAACUCACCAGGUCAGGACACUGUUAGGAUUGACAGAUUGAGAGCUCUUUCUUGAUUCAGUGGGUGGUGGUGCAUGGCCGUUCUUAGUUCGUGGUUAUGAACUGUCAGCUCAAUUGCGAUAACGAACGAGACCGCGACUGCUAAAUAGCCCGCGCCGCCCCGGCGGCGUGCGCCGCCCCGGCGGCGUGCUUUGGCUUCUUAGUGGGACUAUCGGCUCAAGCCGAUGGAGGUACGCGUCAAUAACAGGUCUGUGAUGCCCUUAGAUGUCCUGGGCCGCACGCGCGUUACACUGGCAGGGCCAGCGAGUUCUUCCUUGGCCGAGAGGCCCGGGUAAUCUUGUUAAACCCUGCCGUGCUGGGGAUAGGGCAUUGCAAUUAUUGCCCUUCAACGAGGAAUUCCUAGUAAGCGCGAGUCAUCAGCUCGCGUUGAUUACGUCCCUGCCCUUUGUACACACCGCCCGUCGCUACUACCGAUUGGACGGCUUAGUGAGGCCUUCGGACUGGACGGCGGAGGCGGGCAACCGCCACCGCUGUUCGGAAAGUUGUACGAACUUGGUCGUCUAGAGGAAGUAAAAGUCGUAACAAG